This 33-nucleotide transfer RNA is filed under the name Austrolycopodium magellanicum. Its description in RNAcentral is "partial transfer RNA-Leu". Lineage: Eukaryota; Viridiplantae; Streptophyta; Lycopodiopsida; Lycopodiales; Lycopodiaceae. The record is from RNAcentral.
GACUUGAAAAUUCGUUGGCUUUAUAAACCGUGA